GUAGGUGGCAAGCGUUGUCCGGAAUUAUUGGGCGUAAAGCGUGCGCAGGCGGUUCUUUAAGUCUGGUGUGAAAGCCCACGGCUCAACCGUGGAGGGUCAUUGGAAACUGGAGAACUUGAGUACAGAAGAGGAAAGCGGAAUUCCACGUGUAGCGGUGAAAUGCGUAGAGAUGUGGAGGAACACCAGUGGCGAAGGCGGCUUUCUGGUCUGUAACUGACGCUGAGGCGCGAAAGCGUGGGGAGCAAACAGGGAUUAGAUACCCUGGUAGUCCACGCCGUAAACGAUGAGUGCUAAGUGUUAGGGGGUUUCCCGCCCCUUAGUGCUGCAGCUAACGCAUUAAGCACUCCGCCUGGGGAGUACGGCCGCAAGGCUG
Molecule: ribosomal RNA, 373 nt
Filed under: uncultured organism
Description: partial 16S ribosomal RNA
Rfam family: Bacterial small subunit ribosomal RNA
Source: RNAcentral